CGAAAGGAACGUAAUACCGCAUACGUCCUACGGGAGAAAGCAGGGGACCUUCGGGCCUUGCGCUAAUAGAUGAGCCUAGGUCGGAUUAGCUAGUUGGUGAGGUAAAGGCUCACCAAGGCGACGAUCCGUAACUGGUCUGAGAGGAUGAUCAGUCACACUGGAACUGAGACACGGUCCAGACUCCUACGGGAGGCAGCAGUGGGGAAUAUUGGACAAUGGGCGAAAGCCUGAUCCAGCCAUGCCGCGUGUGUGAAGAAGGUCUUCGGAUUGUAAAGCACUUUAAGUUGGGAGGAAGGGCAGUAAAUUAAUACUUUGCUGUUUUGACGUUACCGAC
RNAcentral lists this ribosomal RNA (334 nucleotides) under Pseudomonas sp. RNAcentral's name for it is "bacterial SSU rRNA". It matches the Rfam family "Bacterial small subunit ribosomal RNA", at positions 152 to 482 of the family's 1533-position model. Lineage: Bacteria; Pseudomonadati; Pseudomonadota; Gammaproteobacteria; Pseudomonadales; Pseudomonadaceae. The record is from RNAcentral.